RNAcentral lists this ribosomal RNA (468 nucleotides) under uncultured bacterium. RNAcentral describes it as "partial 16S ribosomal RNA". It matches the Rfam family "Bacterial small subunit ribosomal RNA", at positions 28 to 507 of the family's 1533-position model. The record is from RNAcentral.
GACGAACGCUGGCGGCGUGCUUAACACAUGCAAGUCGAACGGAAAGGCCCUGCUUUUGUGGGGUGCUCGAGUGGCGAACGGGUGAGUAACACGUGAGUAACCUUCCCUUUACUUUGGGAUAACUUCAGGAAACUGGGGCUAAUACCGGAUAGGUGCUCCUGCUGCAUGGUUGGGGUUGGAAAGUUUCGGCGGUUGGGGAUGGACUCGCGGCUUAUCAGCUUGUUGGUGGGGUAGUGGCUUACCAAGGCUUUGACGGGUAGCCGGCCUGAGAGGGUGACCGGCCACAUUGGGACUGAGAUACGGCCCAGACUCCUACGGGAGGCAGCAGUGGGGAAUAUUGCACAAUGGGCGGAAGCCUGAUGCAGAAACGCCGCGUGCGGGAUGACGGCCUUCGGGUUGUAAACCGAUUUCGACUGUGACGAAGCGUGAGUGACGGUAAUGGGUAAAGAAGCACCGGCUAACUACGUG